RNAcentral lists this ribosomal RNA (495 nucleotides) under uncultured bacterium. RNAcentral describes it as "partial 16S ribosomal RNA". It matches the Rfam family "Bacterial small subunit ribosomal RNA", at positions 29 to 506 of the family's 1533-position model. The record is from RNAcentral.
AUGAACGCUGGCGGCGUGCCUAAUACAUGCAAGUCGAGCGAACAGACGAGGAGCUUGCUCCUCUGACGUUAGCGGCGGACGGGUGAGUAACACGUGGAUAACCUACCUAUAAGACUGGGAUAACUUCGGGAAACCGGAGCUAAUACCGGAUAAUAUAUUGAACCGCAUGGUUCAAUAGUGAAAGACGGUUUUGCUGUCACUUAUAGAUGGAUCCGCGCCGCAUUAGCUAGUUGGUAAGGUAACGGCUUACCAAGGCGACGAUGCGUAGCCGACCUGAGAGGGUGAUCGGCCACACUGGAACUGAGACACGGUCCAGACUCCUACGGGAGGCAGCAGUAGGGAAUCUUCCGCAGUGGGCGAAAGCCUGACGGAGCAACGCCGCGUGAGUGAUGAAGGUCUUCGGAUCGUAAAACUCUGUUAUUAGGGAAGAACAAAUGUGUAAGUAACUAUGCACGUCUUGACGGUACCUAAUCAGAAAGCCACGGCUAACUACGU